UCGAGAAUUUUUCUCAAUGGGGGAAACCCUGAAGGAGCGACGCCGCGUGGGGGAUGAAUGGCUUCGGCCCGUAAACCCCUGUCAUUUGCGAACAAACCUUACAUUUUAAUAGAGUGUGAGCUGAUUGUAGCGAAAGAGGAAGGGACGGCUAACUCUGUGCCAGCAGCCGCGGUAAUACAGAGGUCCCAAGCGUUGUUCGGAUUCACUGGGCGUAAAGGGUGCGUAGGUGGUUGGGUAAGUUUGAUGUGAAAGCUCUGGGCUCAACCCAGAAAUGGCAUUGAAUACUAUCCAGCUAGAGGAGUGGAGGGGGGACUGGAAUACUUGGUGUAGCAGUGAAAUGCGUAGAUAUCAAGUGGAACACCAGUGGCGAAGGCGAGUCCCUGGACACUUCCUGACACUGAGGCACGAAAGCUAGGGGAGCAAACAG
This 427-nucleotide ribosomal RNA is filed under the name uncultured bacterium. Its description in RNAcentral is "bacterial SSU rRNA". It matches the Rfam family "Bacterial small subunit ribosomal RNA", at positions 355 to 775 of the family's 1533-position model. The record is from RNAcentral.